UACCGAGGUCUCAAGCGUUGUUCGGAUUCAUUGGGCGUAAAGGGUGCGUAGGUGGCGCCGUAAGUCGGGUGUGAAAUUUCGGAGCUUAACUCCGAAACUGCAUUCGAUACUGCGGUGCUUGAGGACUGGAGAGGAGACUGGAAUUCAUGGUGUAGCAGUGAAAUGCGUAGAGAUCAUGAGGAAGACCAGUGGCGAAGGCGGGUCUCUGGACAGUUCCUGACACUGAGACACGAAGGCCAGGGGAGCAAACGGG
RNAcentral lists this ribosomal RNA (253 nucleotides) under uncultured bacterium. RNAcentral's name for it is "partial 16S ribosomal RNA". It matches the Rfam family "Bacterial small subunit ribosomal RNA", at positions 524 to 776 of the family's 1533-position model. The record is from RNAcentral.